Non-coding RNA from Mycena olivaceomarginata, 86 nucleotides. NCBI's taxonomy places the organism in Eukaryota, Fungi, Basidiomycota, Agaricomycetes, Agaricales, Mycenaceae. The record is from the annotation of a GenBank genome assembly.
GGCAGAAUAGCUCAGUGGUAAUGGCUUCGGCCUAGAGCAUCUCAGGCCAUAUGAGAAGGUACUGGGUUCAAUUCCCAGUUCAGCCU